RNAcentral lists this ribosomal RNA (300 nucleotides) under uncultured bacterium. RNAcentral describes it as "bacterial SSU rRNA". It matches the Rfam family "Bacterial small subunit ribosomal RNA", at positions 28 to 313 of the family's 1533-position model. The record is from RNAcentral.
GACGAACGCUGGCGGCGUGCCUAAUACAUGCAAGUCGAGCGGAAAUUUUAUUGGUGCUUGCACCUUUAAAAUUUUAGCGACGGACGGGUGAGUAACACGUGGGUAACCUACCUUAUAGAUUGGGAUAACUCCGGGAAACCGGGGCUAAUACCGAAUAAUACUUUUUAACACAUGUUUUGAAGUUGAAAGACGGUCUUGCUGUCACUAUAAGAUGGACCGCGGCGCAUUAGCUAGUUGGUUGAGGUAACGGCUCACCAAGGCAACGAUGCGUAGCCGACCUGAGAGGGUGAUCGGCCACAC